GUGACAGAAGAGAGUGAGCACAGACAGGCAAUUGUAUAGACUAUACCAUUGUUUAUGUGUCUGUGCUCACUCUUCUUUCUGUCAG
RNAcentral lists this microRNA precursor (85 nucleotides) under Ipomoea nil (Japanese morning glory). RNAcentral describes it as "mir-156 microRNA precursor family". It matches the Rfam family "mir-156 microRNA precursor family". From Rfam's summary of the family: This family represents the plant microRNA (miRNA) precursor mir-156. Animal miRNAs are transcribed as ~70nt precursors and subsequently processed by the Dicer enzyme to give a ~22nt product. Lineage: Eukaryota; Viridiplantae; Streptophyta; Magnoliopsida; Solanales; Convolvulaceae. The record is from Rfam by way of RNAcentral.